GCGUCACUGUAGGUGCACUAUGCCACCCUACGUUCCCCGCCCUCCGAAGACUACGAAUCUGGGGGUCAGAGGUUCGAAUCCUUUCGGGCGCGCCA
This 95-nucleotide transfer RNA is filed under the name Rhizobiaceae bacterium. Its description in RNAcentral is "tRNA-Arg". Lineage: Bacteria; Pseudomonadati; Pseudomonadota; Alphaproteobacteria; Hyphomicrobiales; Rhizobiaceae. The record is from RNAcentral.